RNAcentral lists this ribosomal RNA (500 nucleotides) under uncultured delta proteobacterium. RNAcentral's name for it is "bacterial SSU rRNA". It matches the Rfam family "Bacterial small subunit ribosomal RNA", at positions 338 to 830 of the family's 1533-position model. Lineage: Bacteria; Deltaproteobacteria. The record is from RNAcentral.
CCUACGGGAGGCAGCAGUAGGGAAUAUUGCGCAAUGGACGCAAGUCUGACGCAGCAACGCCGCGUGGGUGAUGAAGCUUUUCGGAGUGUAAAACCCUGUCAGUGGGGAAGAACAGUACGGGGAGUAACUGCCCUGUGCCUGACGGUACCCACAGAGGAAGUCCCGGCUAACUCCGUGCCAGCAGCCGCGGUAAUACGGGGGGGACAAGCGUUGUUCGGAUUUACUGGGCGUAAAGGGCGUGUAGGCGGGUCUUCAAGUCGGAUGUGAAAACUGGCGGCUCAACUGCCAGCCUGCAUCCGAGACUGUAGACCUUGAGUACGGGAGAGGAGAGCGGAAUUCCAGGUGUAGCGGUGAAAUGCGUAGAUAUCUGGAAGAACACCGGUAGCGAAGGCGGCUCUCUGGAACGAUACUGACGCUAAAGCGCGAAGGCUUGGGUAGCAAACAGGAUUAGAUACCCUGGUAGUCCAAGCGGUAAACGAUGGGUACUAGGUGUCGGGGGU